This 429-nucleotide ribosomal RNA is filed under the name uncultured bacterium. Its description in RNAcentral is "bacterial SSU rRNA". It matches the Rfam family "Bacterial small subunit ribosomal RNA", at positions 29 to 506 of the family's 1533-position model. The record is from RNAcentral.
ACGAACGCUGGCGGCACGCCUAACACAUGCAAGUCGAGCGCCCAGCAAUGGGAGCGGCGCACGGGUGAGUAACACGUGGGAAUAUGCCCUUUGGUUCGGAAUAACGUAGGGAAACUUGCGCUAAUACCGGAUACGCCCUUACGGGGAAAGAUUUAUCGCCAUUGGAGUAGCCCGCGUCCGAUUAGCUAGUUGGUGAGGUAAAAGCUCACCAAGGCGAUGAUCGGUAGCUGGUUUGAGAGAACGACCAGCCACACUGGGACUGAGACACGGCCCAGACUCCUACGGGAGGCAGCAGUGGGGAAUCUUGGACAAUGGGGGAAACCCUGAUCCAGCGAUGCCGCGUGAGUGAUGAAGGCCCUAGGGUUGUAAAACUCUUUCGGCGGGGACGAUAAUGACGGUACCCGCAGAAGAAGCUCCGGCUAACUUCGU